GAGGAAACUUGAUUUUUUUCCCCUCUUGAUAUUUUAUAGCAACAUCGCAAAUGGCUUAUUGAUAUUUAACUUUUUGUUUUUGAUUUGUUUUCCGGUAAACACUGAACAUGCUGAGCCAAUAACAAAUGCAGAACACUAAAAGGUGAGUCUAAAUAGUGUGUCCUUAUUUCAUGUAUUCCUAUUCUAUUUGAUACCAGUGUUGUCAUUCUAGACUUCAAGAUGUAAGUCAGACUUGUAAAUAGUUCUAUUCCUGAAACUAAGG
Molecule: non-coding RNA, 262 nt
Organism: Biomphalaria pfeifferi
Lineage: Eukaryota; Metazoa; Mollusca; Gastropoda; Planorbidae
Source: the annotation of a GenBank genome assembly